RNAcentral lists this ribosomal RNA (1010 nucleotides) under Trichothecium roseum. Its description in RNAcentral is "SSU rRNA". It matches the Rfam family "Eukaryotic small subunit ribosomal RNA", at positions 89 to 1109 of the family's 1831-position model. The record is from RNAcentral. Lineage: Eukaryota; Fungi; Ascomycota; Sordariomycetes; Hypocreales.
GCGAAUGGCUCAUUAUAUAAGUUAUCGUUUAUUUGAUAGUACCUUACUACUUGGAUAACCGUGGUAAUUCUAGAGCUAAUACAUGCUAAAAACCCCGACUUCGGAAGGGGUGUAUUUAUUAGAUUAAAAACCAAUGCCCUUCGGGGCUCCUUGGUGAUUCAUGAUAACUUCUCGAAUCGCAUGGCCUUGCGCCGGCGAUGGUUCAUUCAAAUUUCUUCCCUAUCAACUUUCGAUGUUUGGGUAUUGGCCAAACAUGGUUGCAACGGGUAACGGAGGGUUAGGGCUCGACCCCGGAGAAGGAGCCUGAGAAACGGCUACUACAUCCAAGGAAGGCAGCAGGCGCGCAAAUUACCCAAUCCCGACACGGGGAGGUAGUGACAAUAAAUACUGAUACAGGGCUCUUUUGGGUCUUGUAAUUGGAAUGAGUACAAUCUAAAUCCCUUAACGAGGAACAAUUGGAGGGCAAGUCUGGUGCCAGCAGCCGCGGUAAUUCCAGCUCCAAUAGCGUAUAUUAAAGUUGUUGUGGUUAAAAAGCUCGUAGUUGAACCUUGGGCCUGGCUGGCCGGUCCGCCUCACCGCGUGCACUGGUCCGGCCGGGCCUUUCCCUCUGUGGAACCCCAUGCCCUUCACUGGGCGUGGCGGGGAAACAGGACUUUUACUUUGAAAAAAUUAGAGUGCUCCAGGCAGGCCUAUGCUCGAAUACAUUAGCAUGGAAUAAUGAAAUAGGACGUGCGGUUCUAUUUUGUUGGUUUCUAGGACCGCCGUAAUGAUUAAUAGGGACAGUCGGGGGCAUCAGUAUUCAAUUGUCAGAGGUGAAAUUCUUGGAUUUAUUGAAGACUAACUACUGCGAAAGCAUUUGCCAAGGAUGUUUUCAUUAAUCAGGAACGAAAGUUAGGGGAUCGAAGACGAUCAGAUACCGUCGUAGUCUUAACCAUAAACUAUGCCGACUAGGGAUCGGACGAUGUUACUUAUUGACUCGUUCGGCACCUUACGAGAAAUCAAAGUGCUUG